Long non-coding RNA from Amphiprion ocellaris (clown anemonefish), 5367 nucleotides. RefSeq lists it as uncharacterized. The transcript has 3 exons. Lineage: Eukaryota; Metazoa; Chordata; Actinopteri; Pomacentridae. The record is from RefSeq and is a predicted model, not a curated record.
AGUCCCUCUCCAGUCAUUUAUUAACCCCCUAAAAACUCAUCCCUGUGUAUUAAAGUUACAUAUUCAGAAGUUUUUCCCAUAAGAAUAAUCUCUUUCUUUUUUACUUAUAAAACAUUGCCUGUAUGAAUCUGUAUUUUUGAAGCUGUCAUCAAUACGCUGCAGUUUCAAGGUGGGAAUGCUCAGCCAUGGUGUUUUUUAUUUUGUCUUCUUGCAUAUAACAAAUAAAACACUAUUUAGAAUAAACAAACACAUUUUAAAAAUGUAAAAAUCCAUGAAAAACAGUGGAAAUCUGGCUGCAAGAGUGCCAGAAAAAUGUGUGAAAUGGCUUAAUAGGGAAAAUAAUAACAAAUAUCUGUAAAAGAAAAAAAGUACAUUUUUUUUAGCUGAUUUAAAUACAAUAAAACGGUGUCAUUUAAUGAUCACACAUAAAAAGAACUAAUUUGUGUCUGUUAAAGUAAAGAUUUUGGUGGCUUGUUCUUUAACACAGAAAAAAAUUGUGUUUUUUGUUGUUGUUUUUACAGUUUGCAAAAAUGCUGAUUUUUUAUUCAUGUACAGUUCUGACCUUUAACAUAUGAAUCAAUACUUAUUUUUUGUGAUUUUACUAGAUAUUAUGUGUAAUUUAACAAACUGACAAAAAUCUGCAAAUAACAAUUUUAAAAAAUCCUUAAUAUACAUAAUUUUCUUUCUCAUACUGGCAAUUGUUAAUUUAUUUUUUUUAAAAAGUGUAAUUUUACAGUCCAAUGCUGUAAAUGAACAAAUUACCAUUUGUACAAUAUGGAUUUUGCUGAUGACAUUAUUUAAAGUUUUGAUCUGUUUUGAAACAUGUAAAUAAAUAGCUUUGUACUUUUAUCUGCAAAAAAAUACGUAUUUCUUUCAUUUCAUAUGGAUAUAUAGAGUAUAACAUGUCAGUUUAGAAACAUCAUAGUAUAGCAUGUCGCUGUAAAAACGUCAUUGUAUAGCAUGUCGCUGUAAAAACGUCAUUGUAUAGCAUGUCGCUGUAAAAACGUCAUUGUAUAGCAUGUCGCUGUAAAAACGUCAUUGUAUAGCAUGUCGCCCAAAAAACGUCAUCGUAUAGCCUUUGGUUCAACAAACGUCAUUGUAUAGCAUGUCGCUCUUAAAGCGUCAGAGUAUAGCAUGUUGUCCAAAGAACAUCAUAGUAUAGCAUGUCGCUCUAAAAACGUCAUAGUAUAGCCUUUGGUCCACAAAAUGUUGUUAUGUCCUGGCUGUCUGAAGUAGGUGAGGAGCACAACAAAAAUAGUCCAAACGCUGGUUUCCAGAGGGUUCGACGAGUGUUUAUUUGAAAGACUAAGUUUACAACAACACAACAUGUGAGGGGGUUAAAAGCAAAUGGGUGUUAGUAAAAUAAAAAUAAAUAAACAGAACUAAAAGUGAACUUCAUGUUGACAUUGAUGGGCAUUCCAACCAGGAACAAAGUAAAAGAUAAUCAAUACGAAAAAAAACUCUUCCUGUUCACCUCUUAAAACCCAAAAACACACCGCAGUAGCACCCUAAACUAAAACUACCAGUGAGUUCCCUGUUUUCCUUUGUGAACAAUUCAAAGGUCCCUCUCUAUCUCCCCACACAUCCACCAACCACUGGAACACAUCUCCAAAGUUCUGCCGGGCCAGCUCAGCUUCCCCUCAGAAGAAGUGCCACCACCUGCCAGAUGAAGGAGCCUUUUGAGAGGCAGCUGGCAUCGUGAUUGGACUGUACUUUGGUCUGUUCCAAUCCAGCUUCAGCUCCAGAGACGGCAGGCCGGACGAGUCAACGGAGGCCUGGUGGACGAAGACAUGCAGCUGAGUACAAUCCAGAAAACAACAGAGGAGGAGUGCAGCAGACCAGAGCCAGAACAACCAGAGUAGCAUCGUAUGUCUCUUAGAAAACAUCAUAGUAGAGCCUUUGGUAUGAAAAAACAGCAUAAUAUACAUCGUAUAUUGUACAAAUAACAAGUCAAAGGAAAGAGACCUCAACUGUAGAAUUGUAGUAAUUGUGGGCUGACUGAUUUACUCAUUAUCAGUAUUUUAUUUUUUACUGAUUUAUGGUAAUAAAUACAUUUAAAAAUGGUGCUACUUUGGCUCUGAACCUUUAUCUACCUGUGGUCGCUCUGUCUUCUGGAGUGAUUUGAUUGGUUAUACGUCACGAAUAAAACUCCUUUAACUUAACAUCUGUAAACAAAACAAAAGCAUAUCAACAAAGUUUUCUGUUAAAGUUUGUGGUCUUGUAAGUUGAACUCCAAGAUUUUAAAUACUUUCAUUUACUGCAAAUGAAUAUCUACUCCAAAUGACUCACUAAUUAUCAUUAUCAGCCUUAAAAGCCCACAAAACACCCCUCUACACUCCACCACACUUAGUACAGUCUGGUUCCCCCUUCUAUAAAUCUGCUUGGACUCUUCCACUUCCUGUUUGUCAAAGUGGCCUUCUACCUAGACUACAAUGAGAAAAACUAUCAGACAGCAGACGGCUGCAUUCAAGUCUGUAGCUGCUGAAUUCAUGGGUGAAUCAUCUGGCACUAGAGAGGAAGACCAUCAAACAUCCACGUCAGCUGAUGGAGGUCCAAGAGUCUCACCGAACAACCAACCUACAGAGUGAAGACCUCGAAUCUGAUUGGACGGCCUCUUAUUCAGCCACUUUAGGCUGUUAGAUUGUUCCAGAUAAGACAAGUACAAGAUUCUUCAGAGCCGUUCUACCACGAGCCUGACAGGAAGAACUCCAACAGGUACUGAAUGUUCCUGUGGUCCCCUCAAGGCUACAGGAGGAGUCCUACGAGGACGAGCCUGUCCACCUGAUAGUGGCCAGUCGCUGCGGUUCAAAGCCAACACUGACUACAUGGACUUCUACUGGACCACACUGAGGCCUUCAAACCGGACCAACAAGUUCAGCGACUCCGUGACUCGUGGGUCUGAAGACGCCGCCGAGCCUCGGUCCAGCCGGCCUCCUGUCUGGGUGUUUGAGUGCUGAGAGGUUUGUGGAUACAUGUGAACAUGUCUGUGUUGAAACAGCAGCUUUGGACUCAGUAACGCCGGGAAAAACCAAGAGCUCCUUUAUUUGUGACUUCCACUAAAAAAAACUGAUGAAAAUAAGUUUUCCAGGGUUCUGACUGAUAACAGAUUAUUAAAUAAUGAAAAUAAUCGUUUAAAUAUUCGUUUAAACAAUCCUUUUAGGUCUACAUUUCCUUUACACCGACUUACACCGCGUGAGGAUGUUGUAGGUGGAAUACUUCCUGAAACCAACCUUUUAGGUCAACAUUCAAAGAUUUAAGGUGAAAUAUUCCUUUAAAUCAACCUAAAUUUCAUGUUUUGAUCAUUAUCAAGUGAGAAACCUCAAUCCAGACUCCUCAUAAAGACACUUGAGAUUUAUGCUGCUGUUUAGUCCAGACUAAAUGGCAGAAAUCCACAACUGUAAUUUUAUUUCAGGACUCGGUUAUUAAAUGUCAAAACAAUCCAUGUGACUCUAAAAACUCAACAGCUUUACAAACUCCAAGUUUAAACUCUCCACAAGGAUCCAAAAUAAGUUGGACUUCUACAUGAGAGCUUUAAUUAUUCUUCAUCUACUUCCUGAAAAGUUUGGUCAAUAAAAAAGACAAAAACUAAUAUUUUCAGCUGAACUAAAGACAGACUUUGUGAUUUUUCUGCUCACAUGUUGUGUUGUUGUAAACUUACUCUUUCAAAUAAAUAGCUGCCUAACCCCCUGGAAACCAGCGUUUGUCCUGUUUUUGUGUUGCUCCUCGGCGACCCUAGACAGCCGGGUCCUAAUGUUUUUUGAGCAACAUACCAUACUAUGAUGUUUUUACAAUGAUGGUUCUACUAUGGAACCAGUUUGACAUGUUCAGGUGUUCUUUGUGUGAAAACUCAGAGAUUUCAGGUAUCAGAAGGUGGUUUUCAACUUUGUUAACUUUCUGCUUCAACUUUAAACUAAAUUUCCUUCACUAAGCCAGCCCUCUGGACUUCCAGUAAGCUGUGUUCCUAUUGGCUGUCCAGGUGCCUGCUUGGUGUUAUCAGGAACACCUGAGCAGCUUGGUGUUAUCAGGAACACCUGAGCAGCUCAGUGUCUUCCUGCUUUAUUUAGCUGCAGACAAACAUUUCCUCUGCUUCUCUGCACCACUGAACCGGGUUUGGCUCCGUUGCUUCAGUUUGUUCUUUAGGCGUUUGCUUGCAGCUUCCAGCAGUAAAGUCGUCUUUAAUGUGUUUCUUGGUGUGUUUUAGGGCUUUGUACUGGAUAGUUGUCUUGAUAAAGGUGGUUCUUUAGCCACAGUUAGCACAUGGUGCUAAUGUGUGCAGUGAUUAGUGGAUUUGGUACAGCUGAGUUGUGUCUUUAUCUUGGCUGUAGUGAGUCUUCAGAGGUUUUUGGUCAGACACAUUCUGUAUUCUUGUUUGUGAACCAGCGCUGGUUGUCCAGAAGGUAAGAGUUCCUGUCCUGAUUCUCUGUUCUCAGAGGUUCUCUGGUAGGCUGUAGGAGACUUUAGCGUUUGGGUUGUGCUAGUUUGGUUUUUGUAUGGUUUCAUUUGGAGGACUAUCUUGAGGCCCCUCCAUGUGGUUUAGUGAGGUUUUCUGCAACAGUUCUACAAAGCAACCUGCAGCAGAAGAGACUUUGAGGGUUUUUAGGAAGUUCUAGAGACCAGACUUUAGAGCAGCAGAAACAUUUGUCAGCAGUUUGAGCAGGAGAAGGUGAGCUUCAGAGUAGAAAUGAGACGGAAACCUUCUUGACCCGUGUGGUGAGGUCCUGUACCAAGAGUUUGAGCAGGUUGUGAAGAGUCUGUAGUUCUUUGGUCUGAAAGCACAAGAAGAGUCGACUCAUUAAAGGAGAAAACAGGAGAUAUUGUUGGUUCUUCUCUUGCUCUGCAGUUUCCAGUUUCCUUAGACUGAAUAUCAAGUUUAUAUUUUAAAUGAUUUCCCCCUGAGCCCAAGAAGACUUCAAUAAACUCCCUCCAUCCCCUGGACACAACAGAUUUUAUUACCGCGUUAAAUCUUUUUUUUUUUUUUUUUUUUUUAAAUAUAUUUUUGAGUUUUAGUCAUAGUUUUGGCAUUUUUUUUCUCUUUGCUUGUUUAGCUUUGUCAUCUGUGUGAAAGGUGCUAAACAAAUAAAGUUGAAUUGAUAAAGUGAAUAAUUGACUAAUUCAUGAUUGUGACAACAGAAGUAUUUUCAUUGUGAUUUAAGGGUUUACUUCAUUUUUAAGGUUGGGGUUAAAGUCUUGACAGAAAAAAAAGAUUAAAGAAAUAAACUACAUUAAAAAAAGCAAUUAAAUCAAAGGAAAAAAAACAUUUAAUACAGUAAAACUUUUAAAAAGAAAAUUAAACAUUCAAUACAAUUAAAUUAUAUUAAACAGACAAAAUAUUUAUUUAAAUAAACAGAAGAUACAAAACAUGUAAUU